This 390-nucleotide ribosomal RNA is filed under the name uncultured bacterium. Its description in RNAcentral is "bacterial SSU rRNA". It matches the Rfam family "Bacterial small subunit ribosomal RNA", at positions 30 to 420 of the family's 1533-position model. The record is from RNAcentral.
AUUAAACGCUGGCGGCAUGCCUUACACAUGCAAGUCGAACGGCAGCACGGGGGCAACCCUGGUGGCGAGUGGCGGACGGGUGAGUAAUGCAUCGGAACGUGCCAUUGAGUGGGGGAUAACGUAGCGAAAGUUGCGCUAAUACCGCAUAUUCUGUGAGCAGGAAAGCAGGGGACCGCAAGGCCUUGCGCUCUUUGAGCGGCCGAUGUCAGAUUAGCUAGUUGGUGAGGUAAAGGCUUACCAAGGCGACGAUCUGUAGCGGGUCUGAGAGGAUGAUCCGCCACACUGGAACUGAGACACGGUCCAGACUCCUACGGGAGGCAGCAGUGGGGAAUUUUGGACAAUGGGGGCAACCCUGAUCCAGCCAUGCCGCGUGAGUGAAGAAGGCCUCGG